RNAcentral lists this long non-coding RNA (654 nucleotides) under Cavia porcellus (domestic guinea pig). RNAcentral describes it as "lncRNA (ENSCPOG00000032071.1)". The record is from RNAcentral. Lineage: Eukaryota; Metazoa; Chordata; Mammalia; Rodentia; Caviidae.
GCUGGAGCCUCCUUCAAAAGGCAUCAUGCACCUUUACAUGCUCCUGGUUUGUGCGCUCUGGAUGUCAGAAAGCCACUCGGCACCGAUGACAGCAGUCACCACAACUUCUGAGAACAAUCUCACGGCGCUCUGUGAUGAGAUUCGGCAGAAUCUCGUUGAUGACACGGAGAUGUACCCGGUAAGCCCGGGUCUCCCUUGACCAUUCUGUCCUGGUGGCCAUUGUGUUUCUGACCAAUUUCUCUUGCUGCCAGGGUUCCUUCACAAGGCCCCAGAACACCAGUGAGGAGCUCUGCUAUGCAGAGUUUACAGAGAUCUUCACCUGCAUCUUGAAGAACCUCACAGAAAUGCUUAUAAAGAAUAAAAAACCCGACCAGCACAUAAACAAAGUUUAUAAAAACAUGGUGAAGCUCCCUCGGAUCUGCCCAAAGCUGGAGCCAACAGACUCACCCAAAAACUGUGCCACUGAGGAAAGUAAUUUCUCCAUGUUCAAGCAAGCCCUAGAGAGUGUGAUCACAUCCAUAGAAGGAUGGACAUCAUGUCAGAAGAUCCAGGGCAGCCUCGGGGACCCUGUCCUCUUCCAGGUUUAGAGCCAUAAGAAACAGGCUGGGGUUGCGGAGGGGAGUUCACUGGCCUUGGGCGAUGGGGUGAUGUCCG